This 254-nucleotide ribosomal RNA is filed under the name uncultured bacterium. Its description in RNAcentral is "partial 16S ribosomal RNA". It matches the Rfam family "Bacterial small subunit ribosomal RNA", at positions 524 to 776 of the family's 1533-position model. The record is from RNAcentral.
UACGUAGGGUGCGAGCGUUGUCCGGAAUUAUUGGGCGUAAAGAGCUCGUAGGCGGUCUGUCGCGUCGGUCGUGAAAACUUGGGGCUUAACCCUGAGCUUGCGGUCGAUACGGGCAUGACUGGAGUUCGGCAGGGGAGACUGGAAUUCCUGGUGUAGCGGUGGAAUGCGCAGAUAUCAGGAGGAACACCGAUGGCGAAGGCAGAUCUCUGGGCCGUAACUGACGCUGAGGAGCGAAAGCAUGGGGAGCGAACAGG